This 810-nucleotide ribosomal RNA is filed under the name Staphylococcus xylosus. RNAcentral's name for it is "bacterial SSU rRNA". It matches the Rfam family "Bacterial small subunit ribosomal RNA", at positions 48 to 830 of the family's 1533-position model. The record is from RNAcentral. Lineage: Bacteria; Bacillati; Bacillota; Bacilli; Caryophanales; Staphylococcaceae.
UUAGUUUAUGCAGCUUAGCAUGCAGUCGAGCGACAGAUAAGGAGCUUGCUCCUUUGACGUUAGCGGCGGACGGGUGAGUAACACGUGGGUAACCUACCUAUAAGACUGGGAUAACUUCGGGAAACCGGAGCUAAUACCGGAUAACAUUUGGAACCGCAUGGUUCUAAAGUGAAAGAUGGUUUUGCUAUCACUUAUAGAUGGACCCGCGCCGUAUUAGCUAGUUGGUAAGGUAACGGCUUACCAAGGCGACGAUACGUAGCCGACCUGAGAGGGUGAUCGGCCACACUGGAACUGAGACACGGUCCAGACUCCUACGGGAGGCAGCAGUAGGGAAUCUUCCGCAAUGGGCGAAAGCCUGACGGAGCAACGCCGCGUGAGUGAUGAAGGGUUUCGGCUCGUAAAACUCUGUUAUUAGGGAAGAACAAAUGUGUAAGUAACUGUGCACGUCUUGACGGUACCUAAUCAGAAAGCCACGGCUAACUACGUGCCAGCAGCCGCGGUAAUACGUAGGUGGCAAGCGUUAUCCGGAAUUAUUGGGCGUAAAGCGCGCGUAGGCGGUUUCUUAAGUCUGAUGUGAAAGCCCACGGCUCAACCGUGGAGGGUCAUUGGAAACUGGGAAACUUGAGUGCAGAAGAGGAAAGUGGAAUUCCAUGUGUAGCGGUGAAAUGCGCAGAGAUAUGGAGGAACACCAGUGGCGAAGGCGACUUUCUGGUCUGUAACUGACGCUGAUGUGCGAAAGCGUGGGGAUCAAACAGGUUUAGAUACCCUGGUAGUCCACGCCGUAAACGAUGAGUGCUAAGUGUUAGGGGG